Molecule: long non-coding RNA, 210 nt
Filed under: Lathyrus oleraceus (garden pea)
Lineage: Eukaryota; Viridiplantae; Streptophyta; Magnoliopsida; Fabales; Fabaceae
Description: Pisum sativum (pea) long non-coding RNA (PSAT_LNC015592)
Source: RNAcentral
UAAUCGCAAGGUUAUGGCAUAACAGUCUGUAAUCCUAAGUGAAAUUUGGAUUGUAACAUAAUGUGUUUUGAUUAGGUUCUCAAAAUAUAAACUGCAAAUCAAACUGAACCGCGCAGUUUUGUUAAAAUAUAGCCUAAAUACAUCCAAACCAAAUGCAUUUUUUGCAGUUUUUUAUUUUCUUUGGUUUUUUUUUGCGGUUUUCUAUUGGGC